Vicia faba (fava bean) is the source of this 288-nucleotide non-coding RNA. Lineage: Eukaryota; Viridiplantae; Streptophyta; Magnoliopsida; Fabales; Fabaceae. The record is from the annotation of a GenBank genome assembly.
AUGGAGGGUGGAGAUUCAUCUGAAAAAUCUGUUAUGAGCAUGUUUGGAAUAUUUAGGCAUGGUGUUUAUCUCAGAAUAUUGGUGCAACUUUGGUGUAGGUUAAUCUUAGCGUUUUUUCUGAUUUUUGAUGGUGCUUUAUUUGGUACAAGGCUUGUAAGUUUUAGGUCCUGGAAGAUGGAAGCGUAUCAAGUACAUAGUGAAGUGCAAAUGAAACUUGCCUUGACUAAGCAAGGAGAACUUGGCUUGACCAUUGAAGUUGGCAAGAAGCAUACGAAACUUGGAUAUUGA